GGAUUCUCCGGGGUUUCCUUCAACAGCUCUUACUGUAAGAGGGUUCCUCAUGGAUUUCAUUUAGAAAUAGGUCAGUCUCAUAAAUUAUAAAACGUCAGACACAAAAAAGAGAUGAGUAAGAAAUGGUGGGGAGCUUGAGUCCCUCUGGGGAUGCCAGCGUCUCAGUGUUUGAUAGAUGCGAAUAGAAGGCAUGAUGACAUCAACAAUCAACAGGUGUCAGAUCAUCUCAUAGCUGUGAAAAACACACAACGAAACCCGACACGAGAAGGCCGGACACUACGUUAAGGUGGAGAGUUGGAGAAGCUGUGCGGAGCUGCUCUCUCCAGAUCGUGCUCCUGGGUUCCCUGGUCCACAGGCCGUAAUAUACAGCCAGGGAUGAACAUCUGCUCCUUCGGAGAAGACCAAACGCAGACCGUCUGGAUCCGAAAGUCCCUCCUGGAGAGCGGAGACAGGCCUGUGACCUCUCAGACCGUCUGGAUCUGAACGUCACUCUUGGAGACCAGAGACAGGCCUGUGACCUCUUAGACCGUCUGGAUCCGAAAGUCCCUUCUGGAGAGCGGAGACAGGCCUAUGACCUCCGGGGUCGCAGUCCAGCAUCUGGUACAUCUGAGUACUCAGGGAAGCUUCUGAUGGACUGGCAUGGAUUUGUGGACAUGGGGUGUUUUCUCACGCCUCCGUGUCUUCAUGUAGUAACAUUUUCCAGCAAGCAUUUAAAGACUGGCCCCCGUGAGCUGUAUUGUAAGAUGGAGCAUAUGGGAGAUGAAACCUCAGAGGAUUUAUCUGUCUUCUGAGGAGCUGGUGCAAUCUACCUGGGAAGAAACUGUCUACACAGGCAGAAACUGUACAGCAGUGGAAAGACAACAUACAGGUGCCUCACCAGCAAGAGUAAAGAUAAACCCAGCCCUGGGCUUUACAUGCAGAAAAAUAAUCUGGCCUCUGAGGAAAAGUGAUGAUCCCUUGUGUAAAGUAAAACAUCACAUGGCAACUGAAGAAUGCAGAAUGUGGACUAGACCUGGAAGAAUCCUGGUGCUCAUCUGUACUUUACACAUAUGAAAAUACCCAGGAUAAGAUGGGGGACGGUGAAGUGCCUUGUCCCAGGCCCUACUUCUAGCUAGGGCCAAAGCUGGGACUAAAUAAAUGUAUUCUAACCUCCAUUUUUUCAAAAUAUUGUCAAAUUUGAAAUUUUUAUGUCCAAGCCAUUUAUUAAAGUCAACAUGCUUAGUGUAAUGCAUUUAUAAGUGGCAUGAAGGAAAAUAAGACUGAUAUUGCCAACAUUCUGUUUGCCAUCCCAGACUCAAGUCUCUGUCUCCUGCUGAGUAACAUUAGCAGAGGUUGCACGGGAAAACCUCACCUGCAGCUCAGGAGGCUUCUCCAGGAUGCCCAUGUACCUGGGACUUCUCCUGCAGUGCACCACCUCCCUGGACCCUUCCUUGCAUGUCACCUACAGCUCAGGAGGCUUCUCUCGGGAGCUCAUGUCCCUGGGGCUUCUCUCACAAUGCACCUGCCUCCCUGGACCCUUCCUUGCAUGUCACCUGCAGCUCAGGAGGCUUUUCUCGGGUGCUCAUGUCCCUGGGGCUUCUCUCACAAUGCACCGGCCUCCCUGGACCUUCCCUUCCAUGUCACCUGCAGCUCAGGAGGCUUCUUUGGGUGCUCAUGUCCCUGGGGCUUCUCUCACAAUGCACCUGCCUCCCUGGACUCUUCCUUGCAUGUCACCUGCAGCUCAGGAGGCUUCUCCAGGUGCCCAUGUCCCUGGGGCUUCUCCCGCAGUGCACCUGCCUCCCUGGACCCACCUGCAGCUCAGGAGGCUUCUUCGGGUGCUCAUGUCCCUGGGGCUUCUCCCGCAGUGCACCCGCCUCCCUGGACCCUCCUGUGCAUGUCCCUGAACUUCCAGCGCAUGUGUGCAUCUGUGUCUGUCUAUGUUGCACAGGUGACAUCAUACAUGUUUCCAAGGCAGGGAACCAUCUCCUUGUCCCUAAACAUUGUGUCUGAAAGAGAGCUGUGCAUGCAGUUAGCACUCAACAAUUAGUAUCACAGAAUACACUUUUAGCAAUCUGUAGCAUCAUAUCAUCUUCUACCUGAACACAGUAGCCUGUGAUCAUUUCAAACUUGACUGUCUGUGAUUCCCUGGCAAAUACUGUAAUUUCUGAGAUGAAACAGCUGGAUGAGUUACCUGACAGGUACAAUGUACAAUACGCAGGUGACGGUCACACUAAAAGCCCAGACUUCACCACCAUGCAAUAUAUUCAUGUCACAAAACCACGCUUGUACCCCUCUAUCUAUAAAAAUAAACAAAAAUAAAAGUUUAAAAAAGGUAUUGACUUUGAAGUCCAGCCCGACUAUUUACUCACUCCUUCUUGGUCUCACUGAACAUUCCCAGGCAUGCAAGACCACCUGUGUCACAGUGAGCUGUG
Non-coding RNA from Macaca mulatta (Rhesus monkey), 2411 nucleotides. NCBI's taxonomy places the organism in Eukaryota, Metazoa, Chordata, Mammalia, Primates, Cercopithecidae. The record is from RefSeq and is a predicted model, not a curated record.